GGGUCAUCCAUGAAUAACACUUCAUGCUGAUGAAUGGCUCUUGCCGGCUUUCGACUCUGAUGAGGGGGUCUGCCGGCCGCUGAUUGCAAACACUAAUGAACUUACAGCGCCAUUUGAAAUUCACACGCACCAACAAAGUGAGGGGAAGUGUCCUCUUGUCGGGGACGAAAAGCACAAAUGACCUU
RNAcentral lists this long non-coding RNA (185 nucleotides) under Mus pahari (shrew mouse). Its description in RNAcentral is "lncRNA (MGP_PahariEiJ_G0012249.1)". The record is from RNAcentral. Lineage: Eukaryota; Metazoa; Chordata; Mammalia; Rodentia; Muridae.